CAGGGACUGAUGCCAAUGUGCACAUUAUUUUAUUUGGGAAUGAGGAAAAAUCUGAGGUGUUUCAACUCUCUCAGUCACUGGAUCAUCAAGACCCCUUUGAAAGAGGAAAAGUUGAUACAUUCAAGAUUAAGACAAAAAAAUUAGGGAGCCUGCAUUCAAUUGAAAUUGGUCACGAUGGGAAAGGAUUUGCAAGUGGCUGGUUUCUGGAAAAGGUAGAAAUCACAGAUACGUCUAGGAAUUCAGUGUAUUGCUUCAACUGUAACAGGUCAGUAGAUCAGAAAUUCUUUACUGUGAGGGUGCUGAGGCACUGGAACAGGUUGCCCA
Molecule: long non-coding RNA, 324 nt
Filed under: Athene cunicularia (burrowing owl)
Lineage: Eukaryota; Metazoa; Chordata; Aves; Strigiformes; Strigidae
Description: lncRNA (ENSACUG00000009532.1)
Source: RNAcentral